This 459-nucleotide ribosomal RNA is filed under the name uncultured bacterium. Its description in RNAcentral is "partial 16S ribosomal RNA". It matches the Rfam family "Bacterial small subunit ribosomal RNA", at positions 28 to 523 of the family's 1533-position model. The record is from RNAcentral.
GAUGAACGCUGGCGGCAUGCCUAAUACAUGCAAGUCGCGCGAGAAACUCCUUUAGGGUAGUGGACAGCGGCGGACGGGUGAGUAACGCGUAGAAACAUACCUCAAGGUGAGGGAUAAGGAUCGGAAACGGUGUCUAAUACCGCAUACUGUCUACGGACAAAAGAUUUAUCGCCUUGGGAAUGGUCAGCGUCUGAUUACCUAGUUGGUAGGGUAAAGGCCUACCAAGGCGAGGAUCAGUAGCGGACCUGAGAGUGUGAUCGGCCACAUUGGAACUGAGACGCGAUCCAAACUCCGACGGGAGGCAGCAGUGGGGAAUAUUGCACAAUGGGCGAAAGCCUGAUGCAGCAACGCCGCGUGAGCGAUUGAGGCCUUCGGGUCGUAAAGCUCUGUCCUCAAGUAAUAUGAUGACGGGACUGGAGGAGGAAGCCCCAGCUAACUACGUGCCAGCCGCCGCAGUAA